CCUACGGGUGGCAGCAGUGAGGAAUAUUGGUCAAUGGACGAGAGUCUGAACCAGCCAAGUAGCGUGAAGGAUGACUGCCCUAUGGGUUGUAAACUUCUUUUAUAUGGGAAUAAAACGUUCCACGUGUGGGAUUUUGUAUGUACCAUAUGAAUAAGGAUCGGCUAACUCCGUGCCAGCAGCCGCGGUAAUACGGAGGAUCCGAGCGUUAUCCGGCUUUAUUGGGUUUAAAGGGAGCGUAGGUGGAUUGUUAAGUCAGUUGUGAAAGUUUGCGGCUCAACCGUAAAAUUGCAGUUGAAACUGGCAGUCUUGAGUACAGUAGAGGUAGGCGGAAUUCGUGGUGUAGCGGUGAAAUGCUUAGAUAUCACGAAGAACUCCGAUUGCGAAGGCAGUUCACUGGACUGCAACUGACACUGAGGCUCGAAAGUGUGGGUAUCAAACAGGAUUAGAUACCCUUGUAGUC
Molecule: ribosomal RNA, 460 nt
Filed under: uncultured bacterium
Lineage: Bacteria
Description: partial 16S ribosomal RNA
Rfam family: Bacterial small subunit ribosomal RNA
Source: RNAcentral